This 75-nucleotide transfer RNA is filed under the name compost metagenome. Its description in RNAcentral is "tRNA-Gly". It matches the Rfam family "tRNA". From Rfam's summary of the family: Transfer RNA (tRNA) molecules are approximately 80 nucleotides in length. The record is from RNAcentral.
GCGUCCAUAGUUUAAUUGGCAAAAUGACAGGUUUCCAUCCUGUAGUUAUCAGAUCGUGGCUGAUUGGACGCUCCA